This 2277-nucleotide small RNA is filed under the name Pan troglodytes (chimpanzee). Its description in RNAcentral is "retained intron". Lineage: Eukaryota; Metazoa; Chordata; Mammalia; Primates; Hominidae. The record is from RNAcentral.
CAAGCCUGGGCAAUGUAGUGAGACCCCUGUCUUUACAAAAAAUUUAAAAAUUAGCCAGGCAUGGUGUCAUGCACCCUGUGUAGUCUCAGCUACUGGGGAGGCUGAGGCAGGAGGAUCGCUUGAGCCCAGGAGUUGGAGGCUGCAGUGAGCUAUGAUUGCACCACUGCACUUCGGCCUGAGCAACAGAGCGAGACCCUGUCUCUAAAACGAACAAAGGGAGAGAAUUAAGUGAUUUCAUACAUCUAAAGCACUUGGGUCAGUUAGUAAGCAUUGACUAUUAGUAUUUCUAUUAUCAUUAUUGUAUUCAUUUUCUCUCUCCACUAAUUUUCAGCUAGCCUCUAUUCUUGUCUCUUAUGGGGCAGAGAUGGUCUCAGCCCUGCCCCAGACCAGCCCAAUGAGAGAGAGCAGCCUAUUUUUCCUAGUGUCUACAGCGGACACCCUAGGGUUGGCUCUGAUUGGGCCAACUUGAGAGCGUGCUUGCCCCUGAACCAGUCACUGUGGUUGAUCGGAUAGACCUGGGCCACCCACUCACCCCUGAACCAAUUGCUGUGCCCCUAGGUUGAUGCUCCCAGGAGGCGUGCUAUCUGAUAAUGAAUCCCUGUGAUUUAAAUCUCAGGGCCUAGGUGUGUUCUCCACCCAGAACCAAGCACAGUGGCUGUCUGUCUGGGCCUGGAGCACGUGCCCACCCUCAACCCAUCCCUGAGUCACAGGAGGGCUCUGUGUCAGUGUCCAGCUGUGCUCCAGGAGGUUGGGUCCGCCCAUGCACACUACAAGGCCUGGGAGUGGGGAGGCGUGGCCCGCAGAGGGAGGGAGGAGUGGAGGCAGUCAUCAUCCUCGGCUCUCCUCUGUCUCCAGCGGACUUGGCUGCCCUGCUUCCCGACCUCUCCGGCCGCCUCCUCAUCAACUCUGUCUUCCAUGUGGGCGCCGAGCGGCUCCAGCAGAUGCUCUUCUCGGACUCGCCCUUCCUCCAGGGCUUCCUACAGCAGUGCAAGUUCACAGACGUGACCCUGAGCCCCUGGAGUGGGGACAGCAAGUGCCACCAGCGCCGGGUGCUGACGUACACCAUCCCCAUCAGCAACCCACUGGGCCCCAAGAGCGCCUCUGUGGUGGAGACACAGACGCUGUUCCGGCGCGGCCCCCAGGCCGGCGGGUGUGUGGUGGACUCCGAGGUGCUGACGCAGGGCAUCCCCUACCAGGACUACUUCUACACUGCCCACCGCUACUGCAUCCUGGGUCUGGCCCGGAACAAGGCGCGGCUCCGAGUGUCCUCUGAGAUCCGCUACCGAAAGCAGCCGUGGAGCCUGGUGAAGUCGCUCAUUGAGAAGAACUCGUGGAGCGGCAUUGAAGACUAUUUCCACCAUCUGGAGCGAGAGCUCGCCAAGGCUGAGAAGCUGUCUCUGGAGGAAGGCGGGAAGGAUGCCCGGGGCUUGCUAUCCGGCCUGCGGCGGCGGAAGCGGCCCCUGAGCUGGCGGGCUCACGGGGACGGGCCCCAGCACCCAGAUCCUGACCCCUGUGCCCGGGCUGGCAUGCACACCUCGGGCUCCCUCAGCUCCCGCUUCUCCGAACCGUCUGUGGACCAGGGCCCCGGGGCAGGCAUCCCCAGUGCCCUGGUUCUCAUCAGCAUUGUCCUUAUCAUCCUCAUCGCCCUCAACGUCCUGCUCUUCUACCGCCUCUGGUCCCUGGAAAGGACAGCCCACACCUUUGAGUCCUGGCACAGCCUGGCCCUGGCCAAGGGCAAGUUCCCCCAGACGGCCACAGAGUGGGCCGAGAUCCUGGCGCUGCAGAAGCAAUUCCACAGCGUGGAGGUGCACAAGUGGAGGCAGAUCCUGCGGGCCUCCGUGGAGCUCCUGGAUGAGAUGAAGUUCUCGCUGGAGAAGCUGCACCAAGGCAUCACAGUCUCAGACCCUCCCUUUGACACCCAGCCCCGGCCCGAUGACAGCUUUUCCUGAGGACCCCGGCCACGCAGCUGUUCCCCCACAUGGACAGAUGGACACACAGAGCCUCGGCGGCCACUGCUGGCACGGUGUGAGCGCCAGGCAUCUCCCACCCGCCCCUCCCGACGGCCCAACCAGGGGCUGUGCAGACGUGGGGACCACGGAACCGAGAUGCACUUUAGCCCAGGGAGCUGGCCUGGCCUCUGGCAGGCCCCCCACUAACUUAUUUUGCCCGGCUGAGGUUGUGGGGGGCGCCUCCUGGGGUGCACGAUUCCCUCAGCUCUGGGUUUAAUGUAUUAUAUUUAUUUGGGGCCGACAGUGCCCCAAUAAAGGGUCAGAAGUG